This 492-nucleotide ribosomal RNA is filed under the name uncultured bacterium. RNAcentral describes it as "partial 16S ribosomal RNA". It matches the Rfam family "Bacterial small subunit ribosomal RNA", at positions 29 to 507 of the family's 1533-position model. The record is from RNAcentral.
AGUGAACGCUGGCGGUAGGCCUAACACAUGCAAGUCGAACGGCAGCACAGUAAGAGCUUGCUCUUACGGGUGGCGAGUGGCGGACGGGUGAGGAAUACAUCGGAAUCUACUUUUUCGUGGGGGAUAACGUAGGGAAACUUACGCUAAUACCGCAUACGACCUACGGGUGAAAGCAGGGGAUCUUCGGACCUUGCGCGAUUGAAUGAGCCGAUGUGGGAUUAGUUAGUUGGCGGGGUAAAGGCCCACCAAGGCGACGAUCCGUAGCUGGUCUGAGAGGAUGAUCAGCCACACUGGAACGGAGACACGGUCCAGACUCCUACGGGAGGCAGCAGUGGGGAAUAUUGGACAAUGGGCGCAAGCCUGAUCCAGCCAUACCGAGUGGGUGAAGAAGGCCUUCGGGUUGUAAAGCCCUUUUGUUGGGAAAGAAAAGCAGCAGGUUAAUACCCCGCUGUUCUGACGGUACCCAAAGAAUAAGCACCGGCUAACUUCGUG